AGGAAAUGAAAAUGCUCAACUUACACGUCAAUUUAAGUGCAAAGCGGUCGCCGUCAAUAUAUUUACCCAACUUUGGAGUUGGGUCGGAUCCACAAGGAACAAUGUGAGUAGCGAUCAAAUUAAUUCGAAAUGAUAGAUACAAGUUGAAUUCAAAUAAAUGGUACAAAAAAAUAAAAUGGGGGAUUGGUUCCUACACUAAUGUUUCUUUUUGAAUUUUUCUAGUAUAAAUUCGUGGUUCUGAAUAAUUAGAGUUUUAACAAUUAAACACGAAUCUUGGGAUUAUACGUUACUAAGGGAAUGACAUGUGGGAGUGAUAAAUCGACAUCAAUUUAGUAAAUCACAUAUGGGUAGGUUUGGUUAUAUAUUUUGAUGCUAGUUUUUCAACAAAACAUCAAACUUUCACCCAUUGAUUCUUUCGAAUACCUAAUAGGUGUGUUCAAUAAUUAGUAACCACAACCUCAAUCUAGGCAUCCCUAUUUCUAGGAUGUUACCCAUGGUGUAGCCAACCUCAAAUUCACCCUUAUGUCUAAGAUAGUGAAAAAUUAGCAAACUACACAUGUGAUUGUCCAUCAUUGCUUUGGUCUCCACAUCCCUCUUUCGAGGAUGAUAUGGAUUUCUAAAAUUCACCCAAAACCCUUCUUUUGAAGAUGGCCUUAGACUUUCUAGAGCUUGGAGCUUUCACUUAUCAAACCCAUGUGGGUAUUUGGGGCUUUCACCCAUCAAAUCCCAACUAAAAAGCAUAGCAAUGAUAAAACCCAUUAACAUGAAUUACCAUAUAGAUGCUAACAAUAACAACCCACACACACUUAAAUCCCUAUUAACGCACAACCCCAAGAGAGAAAUUUAUCUACACAUAAGAUAAAUGCAUAAUCUCCAUUGAAUUGAGUUAUUGAAGAUUUAAGAAAAUGUUACUUCAAACUUUGUUCUCCCACGAUAUCAAUAAUGGAAGUGAGCAAAUCUUCCACUUAGAAGGUCUCCAAUGUAUUCUUCACUCAAAAUUUAUACAACAUUUUCUUGUCCAAAAAUAGAGGCUAUGACCUACACUAAAACUAAAAUCUAAAAAAUGGAGGAAGAUAGAAUUAUUCCAUAAUGAUAGGGUUUGAAUCCUUUUUUUCAAAUUGGGAUCAGCACGUGAAAUUUCAGUUUUGCCCUCGGAUUGAAAUCCUCCACUAGGCCAUGAUUGUGUAAGUCUGGCUGCGACCGCGGUUUACCUCUACGGCCGUGAUUGAUUAACCAUACUUGAUUGCCACGACCGCAGUCGGCAGAUCGCAAUUGCGGUACCUGAGGCUCUUCUGUUUCAAGUCUUCAACUACACUUUCUUGCUCCCUUUUUGAUCAUUUUGAGCACCAAUCCACGUAUUUCCAUCCCUUUAACUCUAUUCCUAUAAGAAGUGGAUAUUAGUGCAUCUAAUGGCAAUUAUGUCUCAUUUAUUCAUCCAUAACAGGGUAAUGUGCACGAAUAAUGAGUGCGAUUAAGUGGUCAACUCACCACUCAUCAACACCCCCAACUUAAAGUAUUUGCUUGUCCUUAAACAACAUUACCUUUUAUCAUGAGACACAAUCAUUUAAGCCCAACCUUUAUGCCUUAAAGAUUACAAUGACCUCUACUUUAAUCGCAACCACAAAUAACUCAUUGCACAUGGGUGAAGCUAACUUUGCUACACCCCUCCUUAUUAAAUCUUAAAACCAAGUCUACAUAGGACUUCAAAGAGCGACCAAGCAAUAAAAAUCAAUACUCUUUAAGUGACUCUUUUUUUACGACAACUAAGUUAUACUCCAUUUGCCUCAUUGUCGAGAGGUGACAAAAUUACCCACCUUAACUUGUUUCACAUGUUGUCCUCACAAGAAAGAGAAUUCCUCACAUCAAGCUACAAAAUAUGCAACAAGGAAUUUUAAGUGCAUAAACUAUAUCACUCACAAAAAAAUCUCAAUGCAACAAACGUUAUACCAUAGGUUUGCCCUUAUGUUCAAUCGCCACUACAAAGAAAGUAAAUGGUUGGAGAUCUCAAAGGACUUUCUAAGUUUGUAAUGUAGGUUUGGGUU
Molecule: long non-coding RNA, 2042 nt
Filed under: Capsicum annuum
Lineage: Eukaryota; Viridiplantae; Streptophyta; Magnoliopsida; Solanales; Solanaceae
Description: long non-coding RNA (CANN_LNC013828)
Source: RNAcentral